RNAcentral lists this transfer RNA (60 nucleotides) under Culex quinquefasciatus (southern house mosquito). It matches the Rfam family "tRNA", at positions 7 to 64 of the family's 71-position model. Rfam says of the family: Transfer RNA (tRNA) molecules are approximately 80 nucleotides in length. The record is from Rfam by way of RNAcentral. Lineage: Eukaryota; Metazoa; Arthropoda; Insecta; Diptera; Culicidae.
GUGGCUGAAUGGUUACGCUGUUCGCUUUGUAAGCGGAUAAUCAUGGGUUCGAUUCCCAUC